GACGAACGCUGGCGGCGUGCUUAACACAUGCAAGUCGAACGGAAAGGCCCUUCGGGGUACUCGAGUGGCGAACGGGUGAGUAACACGUGGGUGAUCUGCCCUGCACUUUGGGAUAAGCCUGGGAAACUGGGUCUAAUACCGAAUAGGACCACGCGCUUCAUGGUGUGUGGUGGAAAGCUUUUGCGGUGUGGGAUGGGCCCGCGGGCUAUCAGCUUGUUGGUGGGGUAAUGGCCUACCAAGGCGACGACGGGUAGCCGGCCUGAGAGGGUGACCGGCCACACUGGGACUGAGAUACGGCCCAGACUCCUACGGGAGGCAGCAGUGGGGAAUAUUGCACAAUGGGCGCAAGCCUGAUGCAGCGACGCCGCGUGAGGGAUGACGGCCUUCGGGUUGUAAACCUCUUUCAAUAGGGACGAAGCGCAAGUGACGGUACCUAUAGAAGAAGCACCGGCCAACUACGUG
This 462-nucleotide ribosomal RNA is filed under the name uncultured bacterium. RNAcentral describes it as "partial 16S ribosomal RNA". It matches the Rfam family "Bacterial small subunit ribosomal RNA", at positions 28 to 507 of the family's 1533-position model. The record is from RNAcentral.